Molecule: non-coding RNA, 380 nt
Organism: Procambarus clarkii (red swamp crayfish)
Lineage: Eukaryota; Metazoa; Arthropoda; Malacostraca; Decapoda; Cambaridae
Source: RefSeq, a predicted model, not a curated record
AGUGUGACUGCAGCCACGGUGGAGGGCGGACGCAAGUUCAACUCUCCUCCUCUUUUAUACAUCUACAGCUGUAUCUUGCAUUAUACAUCUACGGCAGUGUGUCCUGCUUCAUACACUUACGACUGAAUUAUACAAGAUGGCAGCGGCUGAGGGCGAGCGGGUUGCCUGCUUCUCCCGUCCUCCAAUUUCCCGCCAAAAUGAAACUGACCCGGAGAAUUGGCGCCAAAUUUCCCAAGUGGGCCUCUCAAAAUUGAAGAUGCGGAAGGCGUUGUGGGUGACGGUUAAAAGCGUUUUGAUGGUAGAAGCCUCGGCCAACAACUACUGCUCUGAAGUCUGAUGUUCCCGUGAAAUAAAAUGUGACGUAGCCGUGUCAAGGCGAG